GACGAACGCUGGCGGCGUGCCUAAUACAUGCAAGUAGAACGCUGAAGAGAGGAGCUUGCUCUUCUUGGAUGAGUUGCGAACGGGUGAGUAACGCGUAGGUAACCUGCCUUGUAGCGGGGGAUAACUAUUGGAAACGAUAGCUAAUACCGCAUAACAAUGGAUGACACAUGUCAUUUAUUUGAAAGGGGCAAUUGCUCCACUACAAGAUGGACCUGCGUUGUAUUAGCUAGUAGGUGAGGUAAUGGCUCACCUAGGCGACGAUACAUAGCCGACCUGGGAGGGUGAUCGGCCAAACUGGGACUGAGACACGGCCCAGACUCCUACGGGAGGCAGCAGUAGGGAAUCUUCGGCAAUGGGGGCAACCCUGACCGAACAACGCCGCGUGAGUGAAGAAGGUUUUCGGAUCGUAAAGCUCUGUUGUAAGUCAAGAACGGGUGUGAGAGUGGAAAGUUCACACUGUGACGGUAGCUUACCAGAAAGGGACGGCUAACUACGUG
This 497-nucleotide ribosomal RNA is filed under the name uncultured bacterium. RNAcentral describes it as "partial 16S ribosomal RNA". It matches the Rfam family "Bacterial small subunit ribosomal RNA", at positions 28 to 507 of the family's 1533-position model. The record is from RNAcentral.